GAUGACGUUUAAGGUUAUGACAACAUUCAUGGCUCCUCCCCCUGCUUCUACCUUCCUAGCUUUCCACCCUCAAGAUAACAACAUUAUCGCCAUAGGAAUGGAGGAUUCAACCAUUCACAUAUACAAUGUCAGAGUAGAUGAGGUAAAAUCAAAAUUGAAGGGUCACCAGAAGCGGAUAACGGGUCUAGCCUUUUCAACCAGUCUCAAUAUUUUGGUUUCUUCUGGUGCUGAUGCUCAACUGUGUUUGUGGAGCAUUGACACUUGGGAAAAGAGGAAAUCCAUAACAAUCCAGCUCCCAGCAGGAAAGGCACCUGUCGGCGAUACUCGUGUACAGUUCCAUUCUGAUCAGAUACGUUUGUUGGUAGUCCAUGAGACCCAGAUAGCUAUAUAUGAUGCCUCG
RNAcentral lists this unclassified non-coding RNA (400 nucleotides) under Hevea brasiliensis (rubber tree). The record is from RNAcentral. Lineage: Eukaryota; Viridiplantae; Streptophyta; Magnoliopsida; Malpighiales; Euphorbiaceae.